AAAUUGCUAUUCCUAUUCACCGCCCUUUAUGGUUUCUGGGAGUUUCUGAAAUGGUGUUGUGGGCGACGUAGUUCUUCACGGUUUAAAAGUUAUGAGGUUUCCAAGUUUACACUCGUUUUAGGCAGAAAAAAAAAUUAAGAGGGGUGCAACACGAGGACAUCCCGGGAGGUCACCCAUCCUAGUACUACUCUUGCCCAAGAACCCUUAACUGCGGAGUUCUAAUGGGAUCCGGUGCAUUAGUGCUGGUAUGAUCGCACCCUUUCUGACUGUUUUUUUUCUAGCGGGAUAGUGCAUUGAGGUUAAAUGCGUUAAGAAAGCAUCAAAAACAACCUGAGAAUCCGAUUGGGAUCCUUUUAUACGUCCCUUACCUUUCUGUAGCCCGUUACGCCUAUUCACCGCCCUUUAUGGUUUCUGGGCGUUUCCGAAAUGGUGCUAUGGGCGACGUAGUUCCUCACGGUUCAAAAGUUAUGAGGUUUCCAAGUUUAGGCUCGUUUUAGGCCGAAAAAAAAAAUAAAAAUGGGUGCAACACUAGGACUUCCCGGGAGGACACCCAUCCUAGUACUACUCUCGCCCAAGCACGCUUAACUGCGUUGUUCUAAUGGGAUCCGGUGCAUUAGUGCUGGUAUGUUCGCACCCGUUAGUACAUCACUCGUGUUUCCAUAUAUCAUUUGUCUCGGCCAAUCUAAGUGUAAGGCCGUAAAAAAAAAAAUGGUUGCAACACGAGAACUUUUCGGGAGGAAACCCAUCCUAGUACUACUCUCGCCCAAGCACGCUCAACUGCGGAGUUCUAAUGGGAUCCGGUGCAUUAGUGCUGGUAUGAUCGCACCCGUUAGUACAUCACUCGCGUUUCCAUAUAUCAUUUGUCUCGGCCAAUCCAAGUGUAAGGCCGUGGGGCCCACAUGAUUUUCUUGCCGUUUUGUUUCGAGCGAAAAAGUGCAUCGAGGUUAACGGCGUUAAGAAAGCAUCAAAAACACCUUGAGAAUCCGCUUUCGAUCUUUUUUACGUGCCAUAACUUUCCGCAGCCCGUUUGAGGGUCAAAACGGCUGAAUUUGAGCCCGAAAAAUUGCGCCCCCUAUUCACCGCCCAUUAUGGUUUCUGGGGCUUUCCGAAAUGGUGCUAUGGGCGACGUAGUUCCUCACGGUUCAAAAGUUAUGAGGUUUCCAAGUUUAAACUCGUUUUAGGCUAAAAAAAAAUUAAAAAAUAAAAAGGGGUGCAACACGAGGACUUCCCGGGAGGUCACCCAUCCUAGUACUACUCUCGCCCAAGCACGCUUAACUGCGGAGUUCUGAUGGGAUCCGGUGCAUUAGUGCUGGUAUGAUCGCACCCGUCAGUACAUCACUCUCGUUUCUAUAUAUCCUUUUCCCGGCCAAUCCAAGUGUAAGGCCGUGGGGCCCACAUGAUUUUCUUGCCGUUUUGUUUCGAGCGAAAAAGUGCAUCGAGGUUAACGGCGUUAAGAAAGCAUCAAAAACACCUUGAGAAUCCGCUUUCGAUCUUUUUUACGUGCCAUAACUUUCCGCAGCCCGUUUGAGGGUCAAAACGGCUGAAUUUGAGCCCGAAAAAUUGCGCCCCCUAUUCACCGCCCAUUAUGGUUUCUGGGGCUUUCCGAAAUGGUGCUAUGGGCGACGUAGUUCCUCACGGUUCAAAAGUUAUGAGGUUUCCAAGUUUAAACUCGUUUUAGGCUAAAAAAAAAUUAAAAAAUAAAAAGGGGUGCAACACGAGGACUUCCCGGGAGGUCACCCAUCCUAGUACUACUCUCGCCCAAGCACGCUUAACUGCGGAGUUCUGAUGGGAUCCGGUGCAUUAGUGCUGGUAUGAUCGCACCCGUCAGUACAUCACUCUCGUUUCUAUAUAUCCUUUUCCCGGCCAAUCCAAGUGUAAGGCCGUGGGGCCCACAUGAUUUUCUUGCCGUUUUGUUUCGAGCGAAAAAGUGCAUCGAGGUUAACGGCGUUAAGAAAGCAUCAAAAACACCUUGAGAAUCCGCUUUCGAUCUUUUUUACGUGCCAUAACUUUCCGCAGCCCGUUUGAGGGUCAAAACGGCUGAAUUUGAGCCCGAAAAAUUGCGCCCCCUAUUCACCGCCCAUUAUGGUUUCUGGGGCUUUCCGAAAUGGUGCUAUGGGCGACGUAGUUCCUCACGGUUCAAAAGUUAUGAGGUUUCCAAGUUUAAACUCGUUUUAGGCUAAAAAAAAAUUAAAAAAUAAAAAGGGGUGCAACACGAGGACUUCCCGGGAGGUCACCCAUCCUAGUACUACUCUCGCCCAAGCACGCUUAACUGCGGAGUUCUGAUGGGAUCCGGUGCAUUAGUGCUGGUAUGAUCGCACCCGUCAGUACAUCACUCUCGUUUCUAUAUAUCAUUUUCCCGGCCAAUCCAAGUGUAAGGCCGUGGGGCCCACAUGAUUUUCUUGCCGUUUUGUUUCGAGCGAAAAAGUGCAUCGAGGUUAACGGCGUUAAGAAAGCAUCAAAAACACCUUGAGAAUCCGCUUUC
RNAcentral lists this long non-coding RNA (2482 nucleotides) under Brassica napus (rape). RNAcentral describes it as "long non-coding RNA (BNAP_LNC015646)". The record is from RNAcentral. Lineage: Eukaryota; Viridiplantae; Streptophyta; Magnoliopsida; Brassicales; Brassicaceae.